GCAAGUCGAGCGGACCGACGGGAGCUUGCUCCCUUAGGUCAGCGGCGGACGGGUGAGUAACACGUGGGUAACCUGCCUGUAAGACUGGGAUAACUCCGGGAAACCGGGGCUAAUACCGGAUGCUUGAUUGAACCGCAUGGUUCAAUCAUAAAAGGUGGCUUUUAGCUACCACUUACAGAUGGACCCGCGGCGCAUUAGCUAGUUGGUGAGGUAACGGCUCACCAAGGCGACGAUGCGUAGCCGACCUGAGAGGGUGAUCGGCCACACUGGGACUGAGACACGGCCCAGACUCCUACGGGAGGCAGCAGUAGGGAAUCUUCCGCAAUGGACGAAAGUCUGACGGAGCAACGCCGCGUGAGUGAUGAAGGUUUUCGGAUCGUAAAACUCUGUUGUUAGGGAAGAACAAGUACCGUUCGAAUAGGGCGGUACCUUGACGGUACCUAACCAGAAAGCCACGGCUAACUACGUGCCAGCAGCCGCGGUAAUACGUAGGUGGCAAGCGUUGUCCGGAAUUAUUGGGCGUAAAGCGCGCGCAGGCGGUUUCUUAAGUCUGAUGUGAAAGCCCCCGGCUCAACCGGGGAGGGUCAUUGGAAACUGGGGAACUUGAGUGCAGAAGAGGAGAGUGGAAUUCCACGUGUAGCGGUGAAAUGCGUAGAGAUGUGGAGGAACACCAAUGGCGAAGGCGACUCUGUGGUCUGUAACUGACGCUUAGGCGCAGAAGCG
This 723-nucleotide ribosomal RNA is filed under the name uncultured Bacillus sp. RNAcentral's name for it is "bacterial SSU rRNA". It matches the Rfam family "Bacterial small subunit ribosomal RNA", at positions 57 to 761 of the family's 1533-position model. The record is from RNAcentral. Lineage: Bacteria; Bacillati; Bacillota; Bacilli; Caryophanales; Bacillaceae.